RNAcentral lists this ribosomal RNA (564 nucleotides) under Streptomyces sp. 334D06. Its description in RNAcentral is "bacterial SSU rRNA". It matches the Rfam family "Bacterial small subunit ribosomal RNA", at positions 93 to 671 of the family's 1533-position model. Lineage: Bacteria; Bacillati; Actinomycetota; Actinomycetes; Kitasatosporales; Streptomycetaceae. The record is from RNAcentral.
CAGUGGCGAACGGGUGAGUAACACGUGGGCAAUCUGCCCUGCACUCUGGGACAACACCGGGAAACCGGUGCUAAUACCGGAUAUGACGCACUCCUGCAUGGGGGUGCGUGGAAAGCUCCGGCGGUGCAGGAUGAGCCCGCGGCCUAUCAGCUUGUUGGUGGGGUGAUGGCCUACCAAGGCGACGACGGGUAGCCGGCCUGAGAGGGCGACCGGCCACACUGGGACUGAGACACGGCCCAGACUCCUACGGGAGGCAGCAGUGGGGAAUAUUGCACAAUGGGCGAAAGCCUGAUGCAGCGACGCCGCGUGAGGGAUGACGGCCUUCGGGUUGUAAACCUCUUUCAGCAGGGAAGAAGCGCAAGUGACGGUACCUGCAGAAGAAGCACCGGCUAACUACGUGCCAGCAGCCGCGGUAAUACGUAGGGUGCGAGCGUUGUCCGGAAUUAUUGGGCGUAAAGAGCUCGUAGGCGGCCUGUCGCGUCGGAUGUGAAAGCCCGGGGCUUAACCCCGGGUCUGCAUUCGAUACGGGCAGGCUAGAGUUCGGUAGGGGAGAUCGGAAUUCCU